Molecule: ribosomal RNA, 534 nt
Filed under: uncultured Gammaproteobacteria bacterium
Lineage: Bacteria; Pseudomonadati; Pseudomonadota; Gammaproteobacteria
Description: bacterial SSU rRNA
Rfam family: Bacterial small subunit ribosomal RNA
Source: RNAcentral
GACGCUGGCGGCAGGCCUACACAUGCAAGUCGAGCGGUAACAGGAAGUAGCUUGCUACUUCGCUGACGAGCGGCGGACGGGUGAGUAAUGCCUGGGAAUAUGCCUUGAUGUGGGGGAUAACUAUUGGAAACGAUAGCUAAUACCGCAUAAUGCCUACGGGCCAAAGAGGGGGAUCUUCGGACCUCUCGCGUCAAGAUUAGCCCAGGUGGGAUUAGCUAGUUGGUGGGGUAAAGGCUCACCAAGGCGACGAUCCCUAGCUGGUCUGAGAGGAUGAUCAGCCACACUGGAACUGAGACACGGUCCAGACUCCUACGGGAGGCAGCAGUGGGGAAUAUUGCACAAUGGGGGAAACCCUGAUGCAGCCAUGCCGCGUGUAUGAAGAAGGCCUUCGGGUUGUAAAGUCUUUCAGCAGUGAGGAAGGUGGUACUGUUAAUAGCCUAUCAUUUGACGUUAGCUGCAGAAGAACACCGCUACUCCGUGCCACAGCCGCGGUAAUACGGAGGGUGCGAGCGUUAUCGGAAAGCGUUAAUCGAA